CGGGAAGUGGCGCAGUUGGCUAGCGCGCUGCGUUCGGGACGCAGAGGCCGGGUGUUCGAGUCACCUCUUCCCGA
RNAcentral lists this transfer RNA (74 nucleotides) under Bacteroidales bacterium. RNAcentral's name for it is "tRNA-Pro". RNAcentral also lists the same sequence under 1 other name. The record is from RNAcentral. Lineage: Bacteria; Pseudomonadati; Bacteroidota; Bacteroidia; Bacteroidales.